This 440-nucleotide ribosomal RNA is filed under the name uncultured bacterium. Its description in RNAcentral is "partial 16S ribosomal RNA". It matches the Rfam family "Bacterial small subunit ribosomal RNA", at positions 338 to 795 of the family's 1533-position model. The record is from RNAcentral.
CCUACGGGAGGCAGCAGUGGGGGAUAUUGCACAAUGGGGGGAACCCUGAUGCAGCGACGCCGCGUGUGGGAAGACGGUCCUCUGGAUUGUAAACCACUGUCCCCAGGGACGAAAAUGACGGUACCUGGGGAGGAAGCUCCGGCUAACUACGUGCCAGCAGCCGCGGUAAUACGUAGGGAGCGAGCGUUGUCCGGAAUUACUGGGUGAAAAGGGAGCGUAGGCGGGGAUGCAAGUUGGGUGUCAAAACUACCGGCUCAACUGGUAGUCGCACUCAAAACUGCAGCUCUUGAGUGAAGUAGAGGAAGGCGGAAUUCCUAGUGUAGCGGUGAAAUGCGUAGAUAUUAGGAGGAACACCAGUGGCGAAGGCGGCCUGCUGGACGACAACUGACGGUGAGGCGCGAAAGCGUGGGGAGCAAACAGGAUUAGAUACCCCAGUAGUC